UUUGUUUUAGUAUAAUUUAUUAUUUUAGCUUUUCGUGCUGAAGAUAGUUUUAAACUAAACAAAU
This 64-nucleotide transfer RNA is filed under the name Hydatigera parva. RNAcentral's name for it is "tRNA-Glu". The record is from RNAcentral. Lineage: Eukaryota; Metazoa; Platyhelminthes; Cestoda; Cyclophyllidea; Taeniidae.